This is a non-coding RNA of Ictidomys tridecemlineatus (thirteen-lined ground squirrel), 72 nucleotides long. The record is from Rfam. Lineage: Eukaryota; Metazoa; Chordata; Mammalia; Rodentia; Sciuridae.
UGGGUUGUGGCUCAAUGGUAGAGCACUCACCUAGAAUGUGUGAGGCAUUGGGUUCGAUCCUCAGCACCACAU